RNAcentral lists this unclassified non-coding RNA (201 nucleotides) under plant metagenome. Its description in RNAcentral is "partial contains small subunit ribosomal RNA, internal transcribed spacer 1, and 5.8S ribosomal RNA". The record is from RNAcentral.
UCUCCGUUGGUGAACCAGCGGAGGGAUCAUUGUCGAGUUUAUAACUCCCAAACCCUAUGUGAACUUACCACUUGUUGCUUCGGCGCGCGCUUCGGUGCCGCCGAGGACACUUAAACUCUUUGUUUUUAUAAGCAUUUCUGAGUGGCCGAAAGGCAAAAUACAAAUGAAUCAAAACUUUCAACAACGGAUCUCUUGGUUCUG